GACGAACGCUGGCGGCGUGCUUAACACAUGCAAGUCGAACGGAAAGGCCCUGCUUUUGUGGGGUGCUCGAGUGGCGAACGGGUGAGUAACACGUGAGUAACCUGCCCUUGACUUUGGGAUAACUUCAGGAAACUGGGGCUAAUACCGGAUAGGAGCUCCUGCUGCAUGGUGGGGGUUGGAAAGUUUCGGCGGUUGGGGAUGGACUCGCGGCUUAUCAGCUUGUUGGUGGGGUAGUGGCUUACCAAGGCUUUGACGGGUAGCCGGCCUGAGAGGGUGACCGGCCACCUUUGGGACUGAGAUACGGCCCAGACUCCUACGGGAGGCAGCAGUGGGGAAUAUUGCACAAUGGGCGGAAGCCUGAUGCAGCAACGCCGCGUGCGGGAUGACGGCCUUCGGGUUGUAAACCGCUUUCGCCUGUGACGAAGCGUGAGUGACGGUAAUGGGUAAAGAAGCACCGGCUAACUACGUG
Molecule: ribosomal RNA, 469 nt
Filed under: uncultured bacterium
Lineage: Bacteria
Description: partial 16S ribosomal RNA
Rfam family: Bacterial small subunit ribosomal RNA
Source: RNAcentral